GCCCGUCGAAAUGGACGUCUUUGACAGUGUUGCCACAAUUUAUCUCGACUUCGUGAUUUUGCUGUAAUUUUGCAAAUCAGAGACUUCAGGAGUUCACUGGUCUAUCUAAUGCAAUAGCCAAUCAAGGAGCAACCAGGAUAACUGAAGGAGUCUGGAUAUGAUCUGCAGUUGCAGAUGAACUUAUUGACCAAGUUCUCCUGGAAGCCUUUGACAACAUGGAGGAAAGUUGGGACAGCAUAGAGGAAGCAGGAGACUACAAAACAGAUGCAGCUAGACAUUUACCAAGCUGUUCAUGUCAGCAAAUCACUGAACACAAGGGAACAGAAGUGGGAGAAGAGAUCCUGACUGACAAGACAUAUAAGAGCAUGACAGCAUUUAAGGUGAAGAAUGAUGAAGGCUCUGCUCCUUUUUCGGACAACCACAGUCAUUCAAAGAUCAUGGCUCAAGAUCUUCAACGAAAGGCGGCAGAGAGGAGGGCAACAGAGGUCACCCACGAUAAGUGUCCUUCUUUCUCAGAAAGAUCAUGCCCUGUGGGCCUAACAAAUGUUCAGGAAAUAUGUAUUUUGUCUUCUGGAUUUGAUGUAAAAAAGAUCAGAGUGAGAGAUUCUGCUGCAGUGGAGGUUGGCACUAUAGUUUCUCCCCCCCCCUUUUCAAGCAGUCUGUCAAAAAACAUAAAGGGAAAUGUCACACUUUCACCCACAGAGAAGAUUGCUGUGACUCAAGGGCUAUCAGCCUCUUCUCUAAGUGACCACGCACGAUAUUCAAGAGAGGUCGUGGAUGAGAAGACCUAUGCUGAUGUUUCCCAUCAAACGUUACCACUUGCAGAUACCAAGAAAGGAAAAGAGAAAAUGUCCAUUACCCUUUUGCCUGUGAUGGAAAAGCAACAAAAGCGAAAAGCUGGUCGGCCAUAUAAGAAGAAAACUCUAGUGAAAAUGGCUAAACUUUUAGCAAUUGGCCAAGAACGGUAUUCCGAUGCCACAGAAAUACACAGGGAUACUCUAACACCCUCACGCAAACAAACACAAGAGAAGAAAAAGGAUGAAAUGUUUCCCCCAACUACCUCAAGUGACACAUGGUUUGGAUGCAAUUCAACAUCUGAUUCUUCAAACCACCUUACUAUUGCACAUUCAGAUGACAUAAUUUCUGCAUCUCAAAUAGCUGGGCCAAGUAUUUCUAUGGAAUUGAACCAACCCUCCAGGAUACAGAAAACUUCAAAGACCACACAAAAAGAAGAAUUCAAAAUAACAGAAGUGUCGGCGCUGAAAUUGACCACUGUCACAAAGGGUCAAUAUUCUCCUAUAGAACAAGCUCUGACAUACAACACCUUGGUGCCAUCUGAGAAUGCAUUGAAAGUACAAAAGAGAACUGGAAGAAAUAAAACGAUGAUAUCCAAAGGAGGAAAUAGAAGAACUCAGGCAUUCAAAAGAAACAGAAUGAAUCCGAGCAGCCUCUUCACCCCCCAGUCACAGAGUAGCAAUGCUACACCCCAAGAAAAAAAUGAUUUGGGACUCUCUCAAGAUGAGACUCCACUGCAGUCAUCAGAUAUAAAAAUGGAGCCCAAAUACUUGUCAGACACUUCUGUUUUGGAUGUAACGAACAAUGUGAAGGAACACCAAAAAAGAGAACCUCCCACCAAAAACUUUACAGAAGGGAGUAUUAAAAGUCCUGGUAUAAUGUCAAAAUGCUUUGACUUGUCUAUCACUCAAAAAAAUCAGGGGGCACGAAGUGACAUGAAGAGGGAAAUCAAAGAUAUUGUAACUGCUAACAUAUCAGCUGUAGGAAACCAGGGGGAAAUGACUCUAAGAACUCAAGAGCUCUCAAGACUAAAGAGUAUUGAGGAUGUGCUCAAAUUGAAGCGGAAAGCUGGUCGACCAUUUAAGAAAAAUAGGUUUAAAAUGGAUAAGCUGGUAGCGAUAGCACAGGAAGGCAGAACUAAUGAUCCAGAGAAUAGUGGCAUGACUAAAGAGUGUGUUCCAGAAUUCCCGGCAUAUAACCCCCUAAAGUCAAAAGUAAAGAAGGAAAAGACUGACACAAAAACCUUGGCAUCAAAUUCACCUACAAGCCCCUCAAGAAGAUCCAACAGAACAUGUAAAACUACCCCAAAAACUGUUCAAAAGAUGCAAGUCCUCACACACACGCUCGCCCAAUCCGUUUUAUCAGUUCCAUCCAAUCUCAUUGAACUCAAAUCAGAGGACACAACUCUUAUCUCCUCAACGGUCUCUCCAAUUAUUUUAUGUAGUGCAGAGAUUUUCCCUCAACAGGAAAGCCACAGAUGUGGAAAACCCCCGAAGAAAAACACAAAAGUUAACAAACACAUGACCACUGCAGUCCCACAUCCUCCAAUAUUUGCAGUAGUUUCCAAGGCCCAUGCUGAGAUUGUCUCUACAGGGAAUGGUAAAGAAGCAAAGAAAGACAUUGGAUCCAAAAGAAAAUACAAAAGGGUGCCUGGAACUCGUGGUGUAUCAGAAUUGCUGUGUACAAAUGGAAUUCCUCAGGGAGAUAUACAUACCCAAACUAAUAGGGAUGAGGUGUAUUCCAAGACUUCAGCCCCAACUGUGCCACAUUCCCAGAACACACGGAAGCGUGAGGUUAAAAAUAAAAAAGGUACAGAAAAGGCAGCCGUCCCAUUAUCUGAUGAAACUGUCCUUCCUGUUUCAGAUUGCCAGGUGCAAAGUCACAGUGCAUCUCAGGAAACGCCUUUACUGCCAUCAAAGAUUAAGACACAAUCUGACACAUUAUACCUGACACCUAGAACGGUUAGGAAGAAAAAUACAAAGACGUGUAAGGAAAUUAAAAAAACUUCACCGAAAGUUGAGAAAGCACAGGUGCCAUCUCUGGAUCCUUCCCUUGGAGUGGAACAUAGAUGUCAUGAUGUGCCACAAGUGGAUCAUAUAAGACAAAUGGAAGCAGUGAUAGAGUCCGUGAUGGAGGAUCUCCACAAACCACUCAAACCUAAUAGACAACAAAAAAAAUUUAAAGAAGAGACCAGUAAUAUUUCUGCAUUGGAACAAACAGCAUUUCUCGCCUCGGAUAACCUGUUGGAACAGCAUAACCAUUGUACGUUACCUCAAUAUUAUUUUCUGACAAAAUCAGGCUUGAAACAUGCCAAACCCAAAAUGUCAACAAAUAUUAAGUCAAAAGCAUGCAGUAAAGGGAAACUAUUUAAAAAUGCUAAGAAAGCUGCUGUAAUAACUUCAGAUCCUUCUAUUGGAGCAGAAAAUGAAUGUCUUGAAAUGCCUUCCCACUUUACCCAAGCAGAGAAAGGAGGAAAGGGAGAUGUAAAAACCAAUAAAUGUGUAGGAAAGCAUGAAAAGGAAGCAGUGAUAUCAGUGACCGGUGAUCAUUUGGAAACAGCGGCCCACAAACCACAACGUAAGGGGCCAAGAAAGAAGCUAAAAGAAGAGGACAGCAGUGUUUCCAAACCAGAACAAGUAGAAUCUACUACUUCAGAUAGCCAGCUAAGACAGCAUGACCACAAUGCAUCACAAGUUUCUUUGCUAGUAUCGGCGGCAAAGACAGAAUCAGGAAUAGAGCAUAUCAUGCCAGAAAUGGAAAUGACAAAUAAGCCAAAAACAUGCAGGAAAAGGAAAAUACUGUCCAAACAAAGCUCAAAGAUCACUGAAACUCCAACCCCACCAAGUUCAAAACCAUCUCUUGGAGUGGAAUAUAGAUAUUCUGAAAUGGCUACCCCUUUCACACAUGUGGAUCAGGUUCAGAAUAUUCUUGAUACUCCUAAAGGCUCCAAAGCGAGUAAUGGAAAUACUGGAUCAAACCAUCCAAUAUCCAAUGUCAGACAUUCCAGACGGCCCUCCAAAUCGAAUUCACAUAUCACAACUGACUUGAUGCAAGAUCAAGCAAUUUUAUCAGUUGCAUCACAUCCCACUAAUCAACCUACCAGUCCUGUAUCAACAACCGUGUCCUCAACUGCAGCACAAGGACAGAUUACUGAAUUAGUGAGUUCUCUUUGUACAGAUAAAAGGCCGCAUAAAAUAGGGAGGCCUCCGAAGAAGAAAAAGUCUCAGAGACCAAAAAUAACAGGUAUUGAUAAGAAUAUCACAGAUGACAACAAAGUAUGUGUUAAAUUCUUAUCAGCAUUUGUAAAAGAGGAACUAAUUGAGGAAGAGAAAAGUCUAGAAAAUAGGGGAAAAGAAAAGAACGGCAAAAGGAAGAAAGGCAAAAUUCUCCAAACAGACAAUGUGAAGGUGAAAGAUGGCAACGCAUUAGCAGAUGACAAAUUAGUUUUACAAGUCCCUAUAGAUGAUGCAGGGGACUCUAUAUCUAUUGCAAUAGACCCAAUCAGUGCUGUAAUUCCCAAACAUAAAAAAGGUGGUCGUAUUGCCACGGGUAAAAGAGUGCAAAAAAUUGCAUCCACCCCCAACAUCCCCAGUGACCAGCAAUGCAUGAAUAUGUCCCCAGAAGAAAUGUCUCUGUGUCUCAGCAAUAUAUCAGAAAAACACAGAAAACGAAAAGUUGACAGCAGCAGUGCUGAUUUUGUUAAUGCAGAUAUAAAUGUUCUAAAUCUUAAAGAUGACCUUAGUGAUAGAUCUGAAAUACUGGACUCAUCCUUACUAGGGACUCAGAGGGUGAAGAACAAGGGUAAGAUCAAAUCCAAGACAAUUACAGAAGAACAGACAGUGGCCACAUCAGUGGUAAAAGAGAUGGUGUGGCUAGAUUUACAGACCACCAUAGCAGCACUGAAAAAGAAACGAGGUCGGCCAUUCAAGAAAAGUACCUUGAUGAGAAUGGCAAAACAGCGGUCAUGUGAACAGCAGAAGUCAAACGCUAGCAGACAACUUUCCGUGAACAAGACACAGAGCUGCAAAUCAAUGGGAACUUCUAAGGGAGGGAAAAUGCACAAAUUCAACCCAAUGUCAACAACUUCAAGAAGGCACACUAGAGCAUCCGUGGCAAUGAAGAAUGAAGACCUUGUUCUUAAACAACAGCAAGACGACAUAUGGGAGAUCACCGAUGUGUCCAGCAACAUUUUCUUCCCAAUUGUGACUAAUUCCCGCAGUAUUUCAGUGCAAGAAAUCGAAACUUCGGAAACUAUUUUCUCUGUUGAUGCAGGGGCGACACAAGGAAUCCAGCAAGUUGAGUCUACCCCAUUAACAACCCCUCUCACAAAAUUACCUCAUAAAGUGACUGGAGCGAAGAAGAGACUCAGGAGAAAUAAAACUGGAUGGGCUACAAAAGUGAAAUCCAAACGACCUCUCUCCAAAGUGAACUGCGGGGGUACGCUUGAGGUGUUUGUUCAGUCUUCCAUUGACAACACUGGACUCUCAUUCAACUCUAGCCUCUGUAAUUCGUUAACAGAAAAUGACAUAUUGGAAAGUGUUGAACAAGAGAAAGAAUGUAGAGCACAUGUGAAAGCAGUAACGAACUACAAUCGAGUUUGUGUGGAGAAGGAGAUCAACUGUGGCGAUCAACCCCUAACAGCUCGUGCUAAAUUGCAGCAUUCAAGUGUACUCCUACACAAUCUUAAGACAAGGAAACCUAUGUCAUGUCAUUUCUGCAGUCGCUCAUUCCGUCACAUAACCGCAUACACAAUUCACAAGCGCAUUCACACAGGUGAGAAGCCUUACAGUUGCCAGAAGUGCGGCAAGAGCUUUGCUCAUCUCUCCAAACUCAAAUCACACUCAAACAUCCACAAACAACAUGGGCCCAUUCAAUGCCCAUGUUGCAUCACUCAGUCUCCAAAUAAAGAUGACUUGAUUGAUCAUUUCAAGAUCCACAUGAAGGGUACCAAGAGGUUCAGAUUGAUUAAUAAAACAAGAAGAGACAAAGAAAUCCAGAUUCACCCUUACACUGAUUACGUAGAGUCCCCAGUCACUUAUAACGGCAGGAAAUUCCUUAGAUGCUCCACUUGUUUUAAAUAUUUUUUCAGUAAGACCACAUUGAAGCUGCACCUACAAACACACAGUGGAGUGAGGCGUUUCACCUGCAAAGUCUGUGGCAAGAUGUUUCUCACGUUCUCAAGUUUCAAUGCACAUGAAAAAACACACUGGCCUGUUAAACCGUAUGCCUGCUCUGUGUGUGGAAAAGGCUUUGUUCUGCUUAGGGAGCUCAAAACCCACUCUCAUAUGCACUCAGGAGAGAUGCCUUUCUUCUGUAACCACUGUGGUCAGGCCUUUAGCGACUUCUCAUCCUUGCGCACACAUCAAGUCUCCAAAGUGUGUUUUGAGGCUACAGACAAAGGGGAUGGAAACAAGGUUGACAUUGAGGGGUUCCUGGUGGAGCAAAGGGCUGAUGGGCAGAUUAAUACCCCGAUGUACUUUAAAUGUCAGAUUUGCAAACAACUUAAUCGUCACUGGUGUCAGUACAUUCUUCAUCUGCAAACGCACACUAAUAACAAGCCAAACCUUUGUGAGAUCUGUGGACAACGGUAUGAGGUUCCUGAAUUAUGUGUUCAUUGUAAAGUGUGCUGCAAAUCAAGUGGAGAGGAGAGGGCAUGCAAUUCGUCCUUGUCAGAGGUCUGGCAUGAACCCCAAUCUCUGCAAAAUCCGAUGCAUGUGACUGAAAUUGAUUUUCUGUACAACGAUAAUCAGGAAAUGCUAUCUACUGAUGACCAACAUCCUAAAUGCAAGGAGCCUGAGCCCCUGCCACCUCUGGAAACUAUGGAGGAGUAUUCCUCAGAUGUGCUUCCACAAAACCCCAAACCUGCUUACCAGAUCCCAGGUAAUGGGUUGGAGAUAAAUCGACCUUCUCCCUCAAACUCCAUGUGUGCAAGUUCUGCCAUAUUGUCCCUCUCUGUAAUGAGCCUUAAUUCAGUACGUGUGGUUCAACAGCCUUCAGGUUUUCACUCUCGUUUGCAGACCCAUGCUCCUUGUGACAGAUAUCCUCGUGGACAAUGUGGAAAAUCCUUUAACCGGUGGAAUAAGCUCUGGUUGCAUCAGGGACGACACAGAGAAAAACGCUGUAGCUUCUCAUGCACUCGGUGCAAUUUAGAGUUUCGCUUCUUAGGCUCCUACAGGGAGCACAUGCAGGAACAUGCAGCGCAGAGACCCUAUGUUUGUCCGUUAUGUCCCAAAACCUAUAUCACGGAAGAAGACUUAAAUACCCAUCUGUGCGGAAAUCACCAGCCGUGUGAAAGCCUGAAAUGUGACACGUGUGAAAAGGGUUUCACCAGUUUCAGAAAUUUGGAGAGACAUCGUCUGUUACACAGAGCUGCUAGCUCGCACUAUUGUCUCCCUUGCAAGCUCCCAUUUCCUAGUUCCCUAGCCUUAAAGAAUCACUUGAAGGCUCACAAAGCCCGCCCUGUUAUCCCUCUCCCUGAAGGGCCAUUGGAACCACUUCUAUUUCCCUAUCACUGUAGAAAAUGUAAUGCCAGAUUUACAACCACAGACUUGCUCCAAGCCCAUCAGGUUUGCCAUCUUAUAGGGGGGAAGAAAACAUAUAGCAGUUCAGCAAAUGUAGUUUCUGCUUCCCUGACCUCCAAGCUCUCAAACAAACCAAGAGCGAGAGUCACCCCUCUAUCCCCUACGAUAGUACCUAGUCUUCUUCUGUCAAAGAAAAGGAACAUGUAUAGGUAUCCUCACCCUGAUCGUCUCUAUGUCGUCCCUAAAAUAUCCUCACAGCCACCGGUCAUUGUUUCGGACACAGAAGAAGAGCCCCAAGAGAUUCUAAACUUUAGCUUAUCCUCAGUCCACGACUCGCCCUGUAACACUGUGUCCCUUGAACAUGAAGGGCCAACCAGCCCUAGCAAUAAUUGUUGUGAGGCAAACAACUCGGAUCUACCUCAGUGCUCAUGCCCCUCAUGUGUCCUUAUUUAUGAACCUACUCAAUGUAUGCCAAAAACAGACACCCCACACAUGCCGACUCAUGAACCACCAUGUCCCUUGGAUAAAGGUCAUCAGAAUGUACCACCUCAAAGAUGGAAAAAGUCUAAGGGUAAUGAUGAUGCUUUCUUUAGAGCCUCAACAACAUUUGUGAUAUCAAGGGGCAAAAAACAGCGGAUUGGCUUUGAGUGUGCUGAUUGUUGGGUAAGAUUUAGUGACGUCUCGGAGCUACAUGAGCAUUACUUACAUCAUGCCAGGGGGGUGAAGUGAAAAUCAAUAUGUUUUUUUUCCACUAAUGGACAUUUGCAUGAAAGUAUUCAGACCGAUUUACUUUUUCCAAAUUUUGUUACGUUACAGCCUUAUUCUAAAAUGUAUUUUUGCAAAUGUAUGAAAUAUCACAUUUACAAGUAUUCAGACCUUUUACUCAGUACUUUGUUGAAGCACCUUUGGCAUUGGUUACAGCCUUGAGUCUUCUUGGGUAUGACACUACAAGCUUGGCACACCUGUAUUUGGGGAGUUUCUCCCAUUUUUCUUUGCAGAUCCUCUCAUACUCUGUCAGGUUGGAUGGGGAGCGUCACUGCACAGCUAUUUUCAGGUCUCUCCAGAGAUGUUCUAUCGGGUUCAAGUCUGGGCUCUGGCUGGGUCACUCAAGGAUAUUCAGAGACUUGUCCCAAAGCCACUCCUGUGUUGUCUUGGCUGUGUGCUUAGGGCCGUCCUGUUGGGGUGAAGGUUCUUCCAAUAUAAGGUCCUGAGCGUUCUGGAUCAGGUUUUCAUCAAGGAUCUCUCUGUACUUUGCUCCGAUCAUCUUUCCCUUGAUCCUGACUAGUCUCCCAGUCCCUUCCGCUGAAAAUCAUCCCCACAGCAUGACGCUGCCACCGCCAUGCUUCACCAUAUGGAUGGUGCCAGAUUUCCUCCAGAUGUGAUUCUUGUCAUUCAGGCCAAAGAGUUCAAUCAUGGUUUCAUCAGACAAGAGAAGCUUGAUUAUCAUGGUCUGAGUCCUUUAGGUGCCUUUUGGCAAACUCCAAAUGGUCUGUCAUGUGCCUUUUACUGAGAAGUGGCUUCCGUCUGGCCACUCUAACAUAAAGGCCUGAUUGGUGGAGUGCUGCAGAGAUGUUUGUUCUUCUGGAAGGUUCUCCCAUCUCCACAGAGGAACUCUUGAGCUCUGUCAGAGUGACCAUCGGGUUCUUGGUCACCUCCCUAACCAAGGCCCUUCUCCCCUGAUUGCUCAGUUUGGCCGGGUGGCCAGCUCUAGGAAAAGUCUUGGUGGUUCCAAACUUCUUCCAUUUAAGAAUGAUGGAGGCCACUGUGUUCUUCGGGAACUUCAAUGCUGCAGACAUUUUUUGGUGUCCUUUCCUAGAUCUGUGCCUCGACACAAUCCUGUCUCGGAGCUCUACGAACAAUUUCUUUGACCUCGUGGCUUGGAUUUCCCGCGGACAAGCAUUGUCAACUGUGGGACCUAAUAUAGACAGGUGUGUGCCUUUCCAAAUCAUGUCCAAUCAAUUGAAUUUACUACAGGUGGACUCCAAGUUGUAGAAAGAUCUCAAAGAUGAGCAAUUGAAACAGAAUGCACCUGAGCUCAAUUUUGAGUCUCAUAGCAAAGGGUCUGAAUACUUGUGAAAAUAUUGCUGUUUUUUUAUUACAUUUGCAAACAUUUCUAAAAACCUGUUUCGCUUUGUCAUUAUGGGGUAUUGUGUGUACAUUGAUGAGGAAAAUGUUUUGUUUAAUCCAUUUUAAAAUAAAUGUGGAAAAAGUCCAGGACUGAAUACUUUCCGAAUGGACUGUAUAUCAUUGUUUUUGAUGAGUACUAAAUAAGUUUCUGAGUUAACCAUGGUUUUCUUCAUAGCUAUAGCAAUGGUUAAAUUAAUAAUUCACUCCAAACCACUAUUUCCUAUGAUUUUCAUUAUUAAAUAACGCCAAUAUGUAUUUUCGUUGUUAUGUUAAGGUAGGAAGCAACUUGAAAAUUGUUGCAGAAAUACUUUGGAGCUUAAGUCAACUACAGUUCUCUCCAGGCAGGAGGGCUGGCAAGCUUGCUAGAAAAUAUAGCUAUACACAAUAUUACUAAAGUCAAUAUCAGCAUGUGAAGUAGCUAGUUAGCUGUAAAAUCUCAAACACUGCACUAUCAAUUUUAGAGUCACAAUCUCUACCAUGUUCAACCUGGUAGAGAUUUUGUCUUGCUCAAAACAGUGAGUGAGGUUGUGAAUACAACACAAUGGACCUGUGCUGCUAAGGUCCAUUGGUACGUAGUUGGAGGAAAGGAUAUUGAUCUGACGGUGCACUGUGUACUUGAACACAAGUCUAAGAAGUGGUAGAUAUCCUAGUGUUUACCUGUGGCGGCAGGUAGCCUAAUAGUUAGAGCGUUGGGCCAGUAACUGAAAGGUUGCUGGAUUAAAUCCCUGAGCUGACAAGAAAAAUAUGUGUUGUUCUGCCCCUGAACAAGGCAGUUAACCCACUGUUCCCCGGUAGGCCGUCAUUGUAAAUAAGAAUUUGUUCUUAAAUAAAGUAAAAAAUAAAUAAAGAUAUGUUCUAUGUGCGGAAUUUCUAUACUUCACGUUCUUAAUUUUUGUUUUUGGUCUUUGUUUUUUUUUUUACACCAGCUUCAAACAGCUGAAAAUACAAUACCUUUUUGUUACUAAAAAGCGGUUUGGAUGGUACAAUAAUUUUCUACACUUGCUUGUUUUGUCACAAACUUCAAUUAUGCGAAAUCUAAAACAAAUUUCAAUCAGGAAAUAGCAAAGCAACUUCUGCAUAUUGAUAUUUUUUAAAGGCGUUAUGAAAUAUGAUAAGUCUUUUUGUAAAUAGGGAUUAACAAACCAUCACCAAAUUGACAGGAGUUUCACUCCUGGAGUGAAUUAUCCAUUUAACGUUGAUAUUAACCUUUGUUUAUUUUUAUUUUUUAUAUAUUCAUAUUUACACUGAUUGUACAAAACAUUAAGAACACCUUCCUAAUACUGAAUUGCCCCCCCCCCCCCUCUACCUGUGAAAAACACCCAGCAGCUCCUAGCACCUACUACCAUACCCUGUUCAAAGGCACUUCAAUCUGUUGUCUUGCCCAUUCACCGUCUGAAUGGCACACAUACACAAUCCAUGUCUCAAUUGUAUCGAGGCUUAAAAUUCCUUCUUUAACCUGUCUCUUCCCCUUCAUCUACACUGACUGAAAUGGUUUUAACAAGUGACAUCAAUAAGGGAUACAACUGGUCAGUCUGUCAUGGAAAGAGCAGGUGUUCUUAAUGUUUUGUACACUACUGCAAGAAUGUGCCUUUUGAAUAGAUUACAAACUUGUCAUACUUUAAACAGUUAUUCAUAUCCAGUGGUGGAAAAAGUACCCAAUUGUCAUACUUGAGUAAAAUGAUAGAUACCUUAAUAGAAAGUUACUCAAGUGCAAGUCACCCAGGAAAAUACUAAGUAUUUGGUUCUAAAUAUACUUAAGUAUCAAAAGUAAAAGUGUACAUCAUUUCAAAUUCCUUAUAUUAAGCAAAGCAGACUGUACCAUUUUCUUGUUUUAAAAAUGUAGGUUAGCCAGGGGCACUCUCCAACACUGACAUUAUUUACAAACGAUGCAUUUGUGUUAGUUAGCUUGCCAGAUCAGAGGCAGAGGGAUGACCCCGUGUUCUCUUGAUAAGUGUGUGAAUUGGACCAUUUUUCUGUCCUGCUAAGCAUUCAAAAUGUGAUUAGUAUUUUUGGGUGUCAGGGUAAAAGUAAGUUGUCAAAAAUAUAAAUCGUAAAGUACAGACCACAUAAAAAUACUUUAAAGUACUACUUAAGUACUUUACACCGCUGUUCAAAUCUGUCCUGCUGCUGUUGGCAAAGUUUUCUUUGUUCUAUUUUUGUAAGAGCUUUAUGUACACAGACACCAUGAGUGUCUCUCUUUUUAUUAUGUUUAACAUGGGAUAUAUUGCACAUUUGAUAACGCACACUAAUUGCAUCCUUUGGGGAAACGGUUAGAUCUGCUUUCCAAACAGUCAAUAGUUUGGUAAUGGUGAUUACUUAAACAUCUUUGAUUUCUGGAAGGUGGUUUGGCACGUUAUAGAAAGUCGGUCAUUUUUAAAUGUCAAAGAUUUCAUUGGACAUUCAGUAAGCAUUACUCGUUGAAUAUUUAGGCACUGUGUGCACGUACAACAUGAGUAUGAAAAUGUUUGAAAUGUAAUUGUAACACAAAGAUGUGAUGAAAAAUAUUAGUUAUUGAUUCUGUGCUGGUAAGUUUUCAUUCUUUAGAUGUCACUGUCUCAUUAUCAAUGCAAAAUGUGUUUUGCUUUUUACUUUUGAUUUACAGUAGUCUGACAAUAAAAGUUGACAUUACAUCA
This is a long non-coding RNA of Oncorhynchus nerka (sockeye salmon), 12076 nucleotides long. RefSeq lists it as uncharacterized. The transcript is spliced from 4 exons. NCBI's taxonomy places the organism in Eukaryota, Metazoa, Chordata, Actinopteri, Salmoniformes, Salmonidae. The record is from RefSeq and is a predicted model, not a curated record.